RNAcentral lists this long non-coding RNA (242 nucleotides) under Elaeis guineensis (African oil palm). RNAcentral describes it as "long non-coding RNA (EGUI_LNC073496)". Lineage: Eukaryota; Viridiplantae; Streptophyta; Magnoliopsida; Arecales; Arecaceae. The record is from RNAcentral.
CUCUUGGCUUGAGAUCAGCAGUUAUGCUAAUGAUUGAGUCCAUUUAGAGAACACAACAAAAGGUAGUUUGCUAGCCAUAGAAUCUAUGAUACGUUCGGUUUAUUAUGGGAAUUGAAAUUGGAAUUAGAAUUGAAAUAGAUUGAAAUGAAAAUCAGAAUGACCAUACCCCCAAAGCAAUUGGUUCAUGUUCAGAACCAAAAUCAGAAUGGAUGAUUUUCAUUGUUGUUGUUUGGUAUACACAA